RNAcentral lists this ribosomal RNA (464 nucleotides) under uncultured bacterium. RNAcentral's name for it is "partial 16S ribosomal RNA". It matches the Rfam family "Bacterial small subunit ribosomal RNA", at positions 339 to 795 of the family's 1533-position model. The record is from RNAcentral.
CUACGGGGCGCAGCAGUGGGGAAUAUUGCACAAUGGGCGCAAGCCUGAUGCAGCCAUGCCGCGUGUAUGAAGAAGGCCUUCGGGUUGUAAAGUACUUUCAGCGGGGAGGAAGGGAGUAAAGUUAAUACCUUUGCUCAUUGACGUUACCCGCAGAAGAAGCACCGGCUAACUCCGUGCCAGCAGCCGCGGUAAUACGAAGGGUGCAAGCGUUAAUCGGAAUUACUGGGCGUAAAGCGCACGCAGGCGGUUUGUUAAGUCAGAUGUGAAAUCCCCGGGCUCAACCUGGGAGCUGCAUCUGAUACUGGCAAGCUUGAGUCUCGUAGAGGGGGGUAGAAUUCCAGGUGUAGCGGUGAAAUGCGUAGAGAUCUGGAGGAAUACCGGUGGCGAAGGCGGCCCCCUGGACGAAGACUGGCGCUCAGGUGCGAAAGCGUGGGGAGCAAACAGGAUUAGAUACCCCCGUAGUC